CUCUCCGGGUUAUUGUCACUGACAGUCGGAUUAUUCCUCAGCAGCAGCAGCCUCUUCCUCCUCCUCUUCCUCUGCUCUCCGGCGGACAUGCGGGCUCUCGGAGCGGAUCUAUGAUUCCCGCAGCAUCGCGGCUUCUCUGCACGGGUUCUGAUCCAGAGAUGCUGCCGGGCCUUCACACCUGAUCCGUCAGAUUGAACAAGAACCGGGAUAAAAGCGAUACUUCCCCUUCCACCAGUCUGACCAGUCCAGUUCCAUCAUCUGGACCCGGAACCCAGCCGUUGCUUUUCGGGGGCUUUCCAUCGUUCCGCAGCGGGUUCUUCAGAGGUUCUCCGUGGUGUUCUGCUCGGCUCCUCUCGCCUCGGCGCCUUGGACCUUCAUGCGUCUGUUAGCGGCAGACUCCGCCCACCACGCCGCCGCCGCCCGGACCAUGAGCUGUGAACAGGAGUUUGGAGACGGGGCCAUGGGGGUCACGCUCACGCUUCGCCUCCUCAUGCACGGAAAGGAAGUUGGGAGUAUUAUUGGAAAGAAAGGAGAAACCGUGAAGAGAAUACGAGAAGAGUCCCUCUCUGCUCCGUUAUGAUGGAGGAACGUCUCUGAGGAAGAAGUAACGCUUCUCCUCCGUCGGCUCGUAUUUCCCUUCCUCCCACUAAUGUUAUUUUUCUCUUUUAUGUAUCCAUUAAAGUCCAUCCAUCCAUCCAUCC
Non-coding RNA from Poecilia reticulata (guppy), 701 nucleotides. The record is from RefSeq and is a predicted model, not a curated record. NCBI's taxonomy places the organism in Eukaryota, Metazoa, Chordata, Actinopteri, Cyprinodontiformes, Poeciliidae.